This 198-nucleotide non-coding RNA is filed under the name Clostridiaceae bacterium BL-3. RNAcentral describes it as "T-box". It matches the Rfam family "T-box leader". Rfam says of the family: Uncharged tRNA acts as the effector for transcription antitermination of genes in the T-box leader family. Lineage: Bacteria; Bacillati; Bacillota; Clostridia; Eubacteriales; Clostridiaceae. The record is from RNAcentral.
AUUUAUUUGAUGAAGAGAAAAGUAGCAUAAGUUAGGUAAAAGAGAGUCAGUGGAUGGUGUAAACUGAUACCAAUGCUUUUGUGAAUCCACCUUGGAGAAUUAUUAUGAUGAAUAAUACGGAAAACCGUUAAAUUAAAUGAGAGAAUUAUACAUUUGUAUGAUUAAUGAGGGUGGCAACGCGAGUCAAUCGUCCCUAAG